UUCUUCUCACUUCUAAACAUUCUUCAUGCAUCUCUAGCACUUGUAAUCAAACAAAUUCAUUGUAUUAUAACAUAUUCUAAACCAAAAUAACUUUAUACAAGCCAUUCACUGCCUCAAAGCAAUGGUUUUGGGUUCUUAUCCAAUUUGGGACCAAAUAUCGAUAGGUCUUUCUUCUCACUUCUAAACAUUCUUCAUGCAUCUCUAGCACUUGUAAUCAAUCACAUUCAUUGUAUUAUAACAUAUUCUAAACCAAACUAACUUUAUACAAGCCAUUCACUGGCUCAAAGCAAUGAUUUUGGGUUCUUAUCCCAUUUGGGACCAAAUAUCAACAAGCCUUUCUUCUCACUUUUAAACAUUC
Molecule: long non-coding RNA, 358 nt
Filed under: Capsella rubella
Lineage: Eukaryota; Viridiplantae; Streptophyta; Magnoliopsida; Brassicales; Brassicaceae
Description: long non-coding RNA (CRUB_LNC000257)
Source: RNAcentral